AUGGUCACCGUCUCCUCAGAGAGUCAGUCCUCCCCAACUGUCUUCCCCCUGGUCUCCUGCGAGAGCCCCCUGUCUGAUGAGAAUUUGGUGGCCAUGGGCUGCCUGGCUCGGGACUUCCUGCCCAGCUCCAUUUCCUUCUCCUGGAACUACCAGAACAACUCUGCAAUCAGUCAGGGUGUCAGAACCUUCCCAACACUGAGGAUGGGAGAGAAGUAUAUAGCCACCUCGCAGGUGUUCCUGCCUCCCAAGAAUGUCCUUGAGGGUUCAGACGAAUACCUGGUGUGCAGAGUGCACCAUGGUAACAACAACAGAAAUCUGCAGGUGCCCAUUCCAGCUGUCACAGAGAUGCCCCCCACCGUGAGUGUGUUCAUCCCCUCACGCGACGCCUUCUCUGGCCCUGCACCACGCAAGUCCAGACUCUUCUGCGAGGCGUCCAACUUUAGUCCCAAACAAAUCACAGUGUCCUGGCUGCGUGACGGGAAGCCUUUGAAGACUGGCUUCACCACAGGGCCAGUGACUCCUGAAGACAAAGGAUCUGGAUCCCGAACCUACAAGGUCAUAAGCACACUCACUAUCUCUGAAAGCGAUUGGUUGAACCUGAGCGUGUACACCUGCCGCGUGGAUCACAGAGGUCUUUCCUUCUGGAAGAAUGUGUCCUCCACAUGCGCUGCCAGUCCAUCUACCGACAUCCAAGCCUUCCCCAUUCCCCCCUCCUUUGUUGACAUCUUCCUGAACAAGUCUGCCAAGCUGACCUGCCUGGUCACAAACCUGGCAACCUAUGACACCCUGAAUAUCUCCUGGGCUUCCCAAAGUGGUGAGCCACUGGAAACCAACACUAAACUCAGCGAGAGCCACUCCAAUGGCACCUUCAGUGCCAUAGGACAGGCUAAUGUGUGUGUGGCAGACUGGGAGAGCGGGAAGGAGUUUGUGUGCACCGUGGCCCACAGGGACCUGCCUUCGCCACAGAAGAAAAUCAUCUCAAAGCCCAGAGAGGUGGUCAAGCAACCCCCUGCUGUGUACCUGCUGCCGCCAGCCCGUGAACAACUGAUCCUGAGAGAGGCAGCCACGGUCACCUGCCUGGUGAAGGGCUUCUCUCCUGCAGACAUCUUUGUGCAGUGGCUUCAGAGGGGGCAACCUUUGUCCCCAGACAAGUAUGUGACCAGUGCUCCAAUGCCAGAGCCCCAGGUCCCAGGUCUCUACUUUGCCCACAGUGUCCUGACUGUGACAGAGGAGGAAUGGAACUCCGGGGAGACCUACACCUGUGUUGUAGGCCACGAAGCCCUGCCACACAUGGUGACCGAGAGGACCGUGGACAAGUCCACUGGUAAACCCACACUGUACAAUGUAUCACUGAUCAUGUCUGACGCAGGUGGCACCUGUUACUGA
Non-coding RNA from Cricetulus griseus (Chinese hamster), 1386 nucleotides. Lineage: Eukaryota; Metazoa; Chordata; Mammalia; Rodentia; Cricetidae. The record is from the annotation of a RefSeq genome assembly.